UUUUUUUUUUUUUUUUUUUUGAGACAGAGUUUCACUCAUGUUGCCCCAGCUGGAAUGCAGUGGGGUGAUCUCAGCUCACUGCAACCUCCACCUCCCAGGUUCAAAUGAUUCUCCUGCCUCAGCCUCCCAAGUAGCUGGGAUUACAGAUGCCCGACACCAUGCCCAGCUAUUGCAUUUUUAGUAGAAACAGGUUUCACCAUGUUGGCAAGGCUGGUCAUGAACUCCUGAUCUCGUGAUUUGCCCAUCUCGUCCUCCCAAAGUGCUGGGAUUACAGGUGUGAGCCACUGCACCCAGCCCAGAUGAGGACAUUUUUAAGAGGCCAUUGUUCUGUCUCAUACAGGUCACUUUCAUAAACAUUACCCACAACAAAAGUACGCUUUGCCUUCCUUCCAUGUCUCACUUUUCUGUCUGCACAGACCACAGCGAAACAUACUCCCUCUGCUAUGAAGUGGCUGAAUGAACCUAAGUUCCUCAUUUGACCUCCCUCAGCCUCUUUCCUCAUCUGCGGUGUAAGGUUGACUCUUACUGCAUCAGAAAAUGACAGUGGAAGAGUAAAUUAACAUGUGUAAGACAUUAGUCACAGAGGCUGGUACCUGAUGAGCCCUCGGUAAACAUUCCUUUCAGUCCUUUCCUUUCACCAUCCCAUUUUUCUUGCCCUCACUCAUCUUUUCCUUCAACUCCUUUCUCUUCAAUAACUUUCUCAGUCUAUCCUGCGAAUUAAAGAUGCCACACUACCCAUUCUCUCAUGACGCUGAUGGUGUGUUCUCGUGACAGAGUCUGUUUCCCACUCAAGGCAAUGGUAUUAUGUAUAUGGAGAGGUCUGUUUGCAACAGGAAAUCAUUUUUAUGUUCACACAAAAUUUAUACACGAUUUGUCUUAACUUACACAUACCAGUCUCAAUUCUACCCUGUUAUUUCAUACAUGCACUUCAUUAUUUUAUUCUUCAGUCUUUCUCCUUAUGCCCUGAAAAUUAGGAUAGUACAAAAACAAAAAUAAUGGCCUGGGCCAGAAGAGGGUAUUCCUUUAGCAAGAUGAAUGCUGUCUGCAAGACAGCCCUGAAGCCCAUUUCUGGGUUCGGCUUACAUCACAGCCAUUCCACUCUAGGACACAUCCUUAGAUUCCCAGGAGAUAAUGAUUGUCACAGAAGCCACACCCACUCUGAGCAUUCCUACUGUUAGGUAAAUGAAUGUUUACAGAAUGUUGUGCAUGAGUUACUCCUCCUAAAUUCUUCUACUCCUGGAAGUUAAACUUCCCUACUAACCAGCUUCGUCUCCAACUGGCCUGCCUGGACCCUGACUGGAAAGUACCUCCGAACUCUGCAUGGCCAGGGUGGCACUUUUGCCUAUUCCCAUCAUUAUAAUAUCUAACACAGUGAUACAGCACUCACUAUGCACCAGGCACUAUCCUAAGAGCUUUUCAUGUAGCUACAGUCCUAACAAAAAUAUCCUAAGUGCCACCACCCCGUUUUUGGAGAUGAAAAAAAAAGAAAAAAAAAACAUGUGGCAGAGAAGUAUGUGCCCACUGUAACCUAACUCCAUAAUUUAACCUCGUCCUUCACUUCAUCUGCUAAGAUGACACUCUAAAAUUAACAAGGUCUCCUGAAUGACAUCCACCUUCAAAAAUGAUUUCUCUCCCAUUUGCUUUCAGGAUUUGACAGCCAGCAUUUUGUUUUCUGUCUCAUCCUUCACUUAUGCACCUGUUCCCUAACACUAUACUCACAACUGCACAGUCCAGCAUAAAAGCUAGUUUUUGGAGACCUCAAUCUGUUUUGGAAAAAAGAAAGGCCAGGUUCCAAGUCUCACAAAAAGUCAUUUUUUUUUAUUCUAUUGUCAACUAUUUGCAUGGCCAUUCUCUGGCCAUAA
Long non-coding RNA from Macaca fascicularis (crab-eating macaque), 1862 nucleotides. The record is from Ensembl. NCBI's taxonomy places the organism in Eukaryota, Metazoa, Chordata, Mammalia, Primates, Cercopithecidae.